CCUACGGGUGGCAGCAGUGGGGAAUAUUGGACAAUGGGCGAAAGCCUGAUCCAGCCAUGCCGCGUGUGUGAAGAAGGCCUUCGGGUUGUAAAGCACUUUCAGUGGGGAAGAAAGCCUUGGGGCUAAUCCCCUCGAGGAAGGACAUCACCCACAGAAGAAGCACCGGCUAACUCCGUGCCAGCAGCCGCGGUAAUACGGAGGGUGCGAGCGUUAAUCGGAAUUACUGGGCGUAAAGCGCGCGUAGGCGGUCUGAUAAGCCGGUUGUGAAAGCCCCGGGCUCAACCUGGGAACGGCAUCCGGAACUGUCAGGCUAGAGUGCAGGAGAGGAAGGUAGAAUUCCCGGUGUAGCGGUGAAAUGCGUAGAGUUCGGGAGGAAUACCAGUGGCGAAGGCGGCCUUCUGGACUGACACUGACGCUGAGGUGCGAAAGCGUGGGUAGCAAACAGGAUUAGAUACCCGAGUAGUC
This 465-nucleotide ribosomal RNA is filed under the name Vreelandella stevensii. RNAcentral's name for it is "partial 16S ribosomal RNA". It matches the Rfam family "Bacterial small subunit ribosomal RNA", at positions 338 to 795 of the family's 1533-position model. The record is from RNAcentral. Lineage: Bacteria; Pseudomonadati; Pseudomonadota; Gammaproteobacteria; Oceanospirillales; Halomonadaceae.